UUUAUCCUGCUGCUUAGGGUUAGGGUUAGGAUUAGGUUAACAUUUAGGUUUCCAAUUUAUGUACCUGAAGUUUGAAGUGUGGGUAUAAUUUUUAGGGUUAGAGUUCUUCUUUUCAUAAGUGUCACUGGUAGAGCUGAAAUAGAGGUACCUGAAAAUGACUUCUGGGCAUUAUGGUUUGUGUCACAAUUCUGUUUAGGAUUAGGGAUAGGACGUGGUUAAAGUACCUGUUUAUUGGAGUUUUAGUAGGAUUGUUAGAGCUAGGAUUAGUGUUAGGUAAAGUAUAGUGUUUUGUAACACGUGCCUGAACAUUGCAGUGUGUGUAUGACUUGUAGUAUUAGGCUUAACGAUCUAGCUAGUGUUAGGUAUAGGGUUGGGGUAAUGGAUAGCAUUGAAUUUGAAAGGUCUGUGUCUUCAAGUGUGGGUUUGAAAGUGAGUAUUAGCGUCAGUUCAUGGUGAGGGUUAGGUGUAAUGUAGAAUUUCAAGUACCUGGGUAUUGGAAUGUGGUCCUGCUGCAUAGAUUUAGGGUUAGGAUUACUUUUAGGUUUAGGGUUCCAAUUCAUGUACCUGAGGUUUGGAGUGUGGGUAUGAUUUUUAGGGUUACGGUACUUCUUUUGGUAAGUGUCAUCGAUAGUGCUGAAAUAGAG
RNAcentral lists this long non-coding RNA (644 nucleotides) under Heterocephalus glaber (naked mole-rat). RNAcentral describes it as "lncRNA (ENSHGLG00100041931.1)". The record is from RNAcentral. Lineage: Eukaryota; Metazoa; Chordata; Mammalia; Rodentia; Bathyergidae.